GUCGGUGUCUAUUGCUGUGAGGGUCCACCCGUUCCCAUUCCGAACACGGUAGUUAAGCUCACACGCGCCAACGAUACUUGGAUCGAUGGAUCCCGGGAAAAUAGGUCGUCGCCGACA
This 117-nucleotide ribosomal RNA is filed under the name Clostridiales bacterium. Lineage: Bacteria; Bacillati; Bacillota; Clostridia; Eubacteriales. RNAcentral also lists the same sequence under 1 other name. The record is from RNAcentral.